AGAGUUUGAUCAUGGCUCAGGAUGAACGCUAGCGGCAGGCUUAAUACAUGCAAGUCGAGGGGCAGCAUGACUGUAGCAAUACAGUUGAUGGCGACCGGCAAACGGGUGCGGAACACGUACAGAACCUUCCUUCGAGCGGGGAAUAGCCCAGAGAAAUUUGGAUUAAUACCCCAUAGUAUGAUGAAGAGGCAUCUCUUUAUUAUUAAAGAUUUAUCACUUGAAGAUGGCUGUGCGUCUGAUUAGGUAGUUGGCGGGGUAACGGCCCACCAAGCCUUCGAUCAGUAACUGGUGUGAGAGCACGGCCAGUCACACGGGCACUGAGACACGGGCCCGACUCCUACGGGAGGCAGCAGUAAGGAAUAUUGGUCAAUGGACGAAAGUCUGAACCAGCCAUGCCGCGUGGAGGAUGAAGGCCCUCUGGGUUGUAAACUUCUUUUAUAUGGGACGAAAAAGGGCCUUUCCAGGCCAACUGACGGUACCAUUUGAAUAAGCACCGGCUAACUCCGUGCCAGCAGCCGCGGUAAUACGGAGGGUGCAAGCGUUAUCCGGAUUCACUGGGUUUAAAGGGAGCGUAGGUGGAUUAGUAAGUCAGUGGUGAAAUCUCCGGGCUUAACCCGGAAACUGCCAUUGAUACUAUUAGUCUUGAAUACCGUGGAGGUCAGUGGAAUAUGUCAUGUAGCGGUGAAAUGCUUAGAUAUGACAUAGAACACCAAUUGCGAAGGCAGCUGGCUACACGAAUAUUGACACUCAGGCUCGAAAGCGUGGGGAUCAAACAGGAUUAGAUACCCUAGUAGUCC
This 797-nucleotide ribosomal RNA is filed under the name uncultured bacterium. RNAcentral's name for it is "bacterial SSU rRNA". It matches the Rfam family "Bacterial small subunit ribosomal RNA", at positions 8 to 796 of the family's 1533-position model. The record is from RNAcentral.